This 331-nucleotide ribosomal RNA is filed under the name Serratia marcescens. Its description in RNAcentral is "bacterial LSU rRNA". It matches the Rfam family "Bacterial large subunit ribosomal RNA", at positions 2073 to 2403 of the family's 2925-position model. The record is from RNAcentral. Lineage: Bacteria; Pseudomonadati; Pseudomonadota; Gammaproteobacteria; Enterobacterales; Yersiniaceae.
CGGCAAGACGGAAAGACCCCGUGAACCUUUACUAUAGCUUGACACUGAACAUUGAGCCUUGAUGUGUAGGAUAGGUGGGAGGCUUUGAAGCGUGGACGCCAGUCUGCGUGGAGCCAUCCUUGAAAUACCACCCUUUAAUGUUUGAUGUUCUAACUCGGCCCCGUGAUCCGGGGUGAGGACAGUGUCUGGUGGGUAGUUUGACUGGGGCGGUCUCCUCCCAAAGAGUAACGGAGGAGCACGAAGGUUAGCUAAUCACGGUCGGACAUCGUGAGGUUAGUGCAAAGGCAUAAGCUAGCUUGACUGCGAGAGUGACGGCUCGAGCAGGUACGAA